CCGAGACCUGCCCUGCCCUCCGGGGCGGCCCCGAGCCCGGCCGGGCCCUCGGAAGUCGGAAGAGGAGGGUGCCGAGUGGCUGCGAACAUCGAAAGGCAGCGUCAAGUUCUGCUUCCCGCGCUGACCGGCCCCGCUCGCCCACGCGUGCCCGGGGAGGCUGGGGGCCAGCCGAGGGGCGGGCGCGGGGCCGGGGGCGCGGGGAAGUGAGCGGAAGUCGGAGCAGAGACCGCGGAAGGAGGGUGGCUGGCGGCGGUCGCGGCAGUCUCCGAGGCCGGUUCAGAUUUGCUGUUUCCGCGUCAGCUUUCCUGGUUUAAGACUAGAGUGUGGCCGCGCUGUGCUUUUCUGUAGAAAGCAACGGUCGAGAGUGCCUCUCGGGUGUAGUGCUCCGAUCGGAAAGGCGGGAGCUUGGUGAUCAAGGGGUUCAGUGCGGCUCAGCCGAUUCCUCAACCUGCCCCUCAAGGGCUCCCCGUUCUGAAAAUGAGUUCUUCAUGUCUGCGGUCCCCGUGUUGGAAACCUGCAGAGGAUGUUGCGGGGGGAAGGGAGGGCUCAGUCUUCCAGGCCGAAGGUGCGUGUGAGCAGGAGUGAGCCUCCAUGUGCGAUGAGGGUCUUUGUUCCAGGAGCCCCCCCUUCCCAAACCUCCAGGACACGGGACUUGAAGGAUGUUUGAUGGAGCCAGAAGAGGAUAUGACCAGCAAGAAUAUUUGUUUAAACUGAAAUCGAGACCUUCCUUCUCUUCAAUGGAGACUCCCAGAUACACAAGCUAUUGGGGGCUAUCCUACCAGAGAGCACAGUAAAGGCAGGGACGCCUGCCACAGCAUGGCUUGCCAAGUGGCGCCAUGUCUGCACCCGGGAUCUGAACCGGCGAACCCCAGGCCGCUGAAGCGGAAUGUGCGCACUUAACCGCUGUGCCAUGAGACCAGCCCCUUGGGGGUGAAUCUUAAAGCAGAACCAUUUAGUAGCCAUGAGCGCCAUUCACAAACUCAGUUAAAAUCAUGUAACAGAAAC
RNAcentral lists this long non-coding RNA (1005 nucleotides) under Equus caballus (horse). RNAcentral's name for it is "lncRNA (ENSECAG00000053237.1)". The record is from RNAcentral. Lineage: Eukaryota; Metazoa; Chordata; Mammalia; Perissodactyla; Equidae.